CCUACGGGAGGCAGCAGUGGGGAAUAUUGGACAAUGGGGGGAACCCUGAUCCAGCCAUGCCGCGUGUGUGAAGAAGGCCCUCGGGUUGUAAAGCACUUUCAGUGAGGAAGAACGCCUGGUGGUUAAUACCCAUCAGGAAAGACAUCACUCACAGAAGAAGCACCGGCUAACUCCGUGCCAGCAGCCGCGGUAAUACGGAGGGUGCGAGCGUUAAUCGGAAUUACUGGGCGUAAAGCGCGCGUAGGUGGCUUGAUAAGCCGGUUGUGAAAGCCCCGGGCUCAACCUGGGAACGGCAUCCGGAACUGUCAAGGUAGAGGGGAGGAGAGGAAGGUAGAAUUCCCGGUGUAGCGGUGAAAUGCGUAGAGGUCGGGAGGAAUACCAGUGGCGAAGGCGGCCUUCUGGACUGACACUGACACUGAGGUGCGAAAGCGUGGGUAGCAAACAGGAUUAGAUACCCUUGUAGUC
This 465-nucleotide ribosomal RNA is filed under the name Vreelandella stevensii. RNAcentral's name for it is "partial 16S ribosomal RNA". It matches the Rfam family "Bacterial small subunit ribosomal RNA", at positions 338 to 795 of the family's 1533-position model. The record is from RNAcentral. Lineage: Bacteria; Pseudomonadati; Pseudomonadota; Gammaproteobacteria; Oceanospirillales; Halomonadaceae.